AGUGAACGCUGGCGGUAGGCCUAACACAUGCAAGUCGAACGGCAGCACAGUAAGAGCUUGCUCUUACGGGUGGCGAGUGGCGGACGGGUGAGGAAUACAUCGGAAUCUACUUUUUCGUGGGGGAUAACGUAGGGAAACUUACGCUAAUACCGCAUACGACCUACGGGUGAAAGCAGGGGAUCUUCGGACCUUGCGCGAUUGAAUGAGCCGAUGUCAGAUUAGCUAGUUGGCGGGGUAAAGGCCCACCAAGGCGACGAUCCGUAGCUGGUCUGAGAGGAUGAUCAGCCACACUGGAACUGAGACACGGUCCAGACUCCUACGGGAGGCAGCAGUGGGGAAUAUUGGACAAUGGGCGCAAGCCUGAUCCAGCCAUACCGCGUGGGUGAAGAAGGCCUUCGGGUUGUAAAGCCCUUUUGUUGGGAAAGAAAAGCAGCAGGUUAAUACCCCGCUGUUCUGACGGUACCCAAAGAGUAAGCACCGGCUAACUUCGUG
RNAcentral lists this ribosomal RNA (492 nucleotides) under uncultured bacterium. RNAcentral describes it as "partial 16S ribosomal RNA". It matches the Rfam family "Bacterial small subunit ribosomal RNA", at positions 29 to 507 of the family's 1533-position model. The record is from RNAcentral.